This 1480-nucleotide ribosomal RNA is filed under the name metagenome. RNAcentral's name for it is "bacterial SSU rRNA". It matches the Rfam family "Bacterial small subunit ribosomal RNA". The record is from RNAcentral.
AGAGUUUGAUCCUGGCUCAGGAUGAACGCUAGCGACAGGCCUAACACAUGCAAGUCGAGGGGUAACAGGAGAGCUUGCUCUCGCUGACGACCGGCGCACGGGUGCGUAACGCGUAUGCAACCUUCCCAUUACAGGAGGAUAGCCCGGGGAAACCCGGAUUAAUACUCCAUGGUACUAUAGAAUCGCAUGAUUUUAUAUUUAAAGAUUCAUCGGUAAUGGAUGGGCAUGCGUAUGAUUAGCUAGUUGGCGGGGUAACGGCCCACCAAGGCAACGAUCAUUAGGGGUUCUGAGAGGAAGGUCCCCCACACUGGUACUGAGACACGGACCAGACUCCUACGGGAGGCAGCAGUGAGGAAUAUUGGGCAAUGGGGGCAACCCUGACCCAGCCAUGUCGCGUGCAGGAAGACUGCCCUAUGGGUUGUAAACUGCUUUUGUACGGGAAUAAUGCCCUACGUGUAGGGAGCUGCAUGUACCGUACGAAUAAGCACCGGCUAACUCCGUGCCAGCAGCCGCGGUAAUACGGAGGGUGCAAGCGUUAUCCGGAUUCAUUGGGUUUAAAGGGUGCGUAGGUGGAAUUAUAAGUCAGUGGUGAAAUUUCGCGGCUCAACCGUAAAACUGCCAUUGAAACUGUAGUUCUUGAGAAAGUUCGAGGUAGGCGGAAUGAGUAAUGUAGCGGUGAAAUGCAUAGAUAUUACUCAGAACACCGAUUGCGUAGGCAGCUUACCAGGCCUUUUCUGACACUGAUGCACGAAAGCGUGGGGAGCGAACAGGAUUAGAUACCCUGGUAGUCCACGCCGUAAACGAUGCAUACUCGCUGUUGGUACGUUAUAGUAUCAGUGGCCAAGCGAAAGUAAUAAGUAUGCCACCUGGGGAGUACGUCGGCAACGAUGAAACUCAAAGGAAUUGACGGGGGCCCGCACAAGCGGAGGAACAUGUGGUUUAAUUCGAUGAUACGCGAGGAACCUUACCUGGGCUUAAAUGUAGAUUGCAUAAAGCAGAGAUGCUUUUUUCUUCGGACUAUUUACAAGGUGCUGCAUGGUUGUCGUCAGCUCGUGCCGUGAGGUGUCGGGUUAAGUCCCAUAACGAGCGCAACCCCUACCGUUAGUUACCAUCAGGUUAAGCUGGGGACUCUAGCGGGACUGCCGGUGUAAACCGCGAGGAAGGUGGGGAUGACGUCAAAUCAGCACGGCCCUUACGCCCAGGGCUACACACGUGUUACAAUGGCCUGUACAGAGGGCAGCUACCAGGCAACUGGAUGCGAAUCUCGAAAGCAGGUCUCAGUUCGGAUCGAAGUCUGCAACCCGACUUCGUGAAGUUGGAUUCGCUAGUAAUCGCGCAUCAGCCAUGGCGCGGUGAAUACGUUCCCGGGCCUUGUACACACCGCCCGUCAAGCCAUGGAAGUUGGGGGUACCUAAAGUUCGUAACCGCAAGGAGCGACCUAGGGUAAAACCGAUAACUGGGGCUAAGUCGUAACAAGGUA